Molecule: transfer RNA, 82 nt
Filed under: Ixodes scapularis (black-legged tick)
Lineage: Eukaryota; Metazoa; Arthropoda; Arachnida; Ixodida; Ixodidae
Rfam family: tRNA
About the family: Transfer RNA (tRNA) molecules are approximately 80 nucleotides in length. Their secondary structure includes four short double-helical elements and three loops (D, anti-codon, and T loops).
Source: Rfam by way of RNAcentral
GCAGUCGUGGCCGAGUGGUUAAGGCGAUGGGCCAGAAAUCCGUUGGUGUCUCUCCGCACAGGUUCGAAUCCUGUCGACUGCG